RNAcentral lists this unclassified non-coding RNA (341 nucleotides) under soil metagenome. RNAcentral's name for it is "partial contains 5.8S ribosomal RNA, internal transcribed spacer 2, and large subunit ribosomal RNA". The stretch from base 1 to 120 matches the Rfam family "5.8S ribosomal RNA", at positions 35 to 154 of the family's 154-position model. The record is from RNAcentral.
GAUGAAGAACGUAGCGAAAUGCGAUAAGUAGUGUGAAUUGCAGAAUUCAGUGAAUCAUCGAAUGUUUGAACGCACAUUGCGCCCUUUGGUAUUCCAAAGGGCAUGCCUGUUCGAGCGUCAUUUGUACCCUCAAGCUUUGCUUGGUGUUGGGCGUCUUGUCUCUAGCUUUGCUGGAGACUCGCCUUAAAGUAAUUGGCAGCCGGCCUACUGGUUUCGGAGCGCAGCACAAGUCGCACUCUCUAUCAGCAAAGGUCUAGCAUCCAUUAAGCCUUUUUUUCAACUUUUGACCUCGGAUCAGGUAGGGAUACCCGCUGAACUUAAGCAUAUCAAUAAGCGGAGGA